This is a long non-coding RNA of Mytilus californianus (California mussel), 1111 nucleotides long. RefSeq lists it as uncharacterized. The transcript has 3 exons. The record is from RefSeq and is a predicted model, not a curated record. Lineage: Eukaryota; Metazoa; Mollusca; Bivalvia; Mytilida; Mytilidae.
CACCUCCAAGGUAAUGUAGUUCACACCACCACCUCCAAGGUAAUGUAGUUCACACCACCACCUCCAAGGUAAUGUUCUUCUAGUUCACUUAUUCACUGAUUCAAAACCUCCCAUGUAAUGUAGCUCUUCUGGUUCACUGAUUCACUGUUGUGGGCAUUUAUUCUAUCACUUCUUUGCUAAUCAAAUAAAUACAAUUUUUAAGUAGAAACGGAUAAACUACUAAAUGAAGCUUUCUUGAAAGAUGAAUUUUCUUACAAUCAUGGCAACUCUAAAAUUAUAUAAAUCCAUGAUAUUUGAAGAUUCUGUAAGCCAAAGAAAAUGUGUAAAUCUAGUGGCUAAGCAUAGGAUGAGAUUGUAAAUCUAGUGGCUAAGCAUAGGAUGAGAUUGUAAAUCUUGUGGCUAAGCAUAGGAUGAGAUUGUAAAUCUUGUGGCUAAGCAUAGGAUGAGAUUGUAAAUCUAGUGGCUAAGCAUAGGAUGCGAUUGUAAAUCUUGUGGCUAAGCAUAGGAUGAGAUUGUAAAUCUAGUGGCUAAGCAUAGGAUGAGAUUGUAAAUCUAGUGGCUAAGCAUAGGAUGAGAUUGUAAAUCUAGUGGCUAAGCAUAGGAUGAGAUUGUAAAUCUAGUGGCUAAGCAUAGGAUGAGAUUGUAAAUCUAGUGGCUAAGCAUAGGAUGUAAAUCUAGUGGCUAAGCAUAGGAUGUAAAUCUAGUGGCUAAGCAUAGGAUGUAAAUCUAGUGGCUAAGCAUAGGAUGAGAUUGUAAAUCUUGUGGCUAACCAUAGGAUGAGAUUGUAAAUCUAGUGGCUAAGCAUAGGAUGAGAUUGUAAAUCUAGUGGCUAAGCAUAGGAUGAGAUUGUAAAUCUAGUGGCUAACCAUAGGAUGAGAUUGUAAAUCUAGUGGCUAAGCAUAGGAUGUAAAUCUAGUGGCUAAGCAUAUGAUGUAAAUCUAGUGGCUAAGCAUAGGAUGAGAUUGUAAAUCUAGUGGCUAAGCAUAGGAUGAGAUUGUAAAUCUAGUGGCUAACCAUAGGAUGAGAUUGUAAAUCUAGUGGCUAAGUAUAGGAUGAGAUUGUAAAUCUAGUGGCUAAGCAUAGGAUGAGAUUGUAAAUCUAGUGGCAAAGC